ACUUGCAUAUGGUUUAAAGAAUUUUAUUAUAUAGCAAUUUGUAUGUACUAACUUAUAACAUAAAACUUAUAUAUAAAAGUUAUGAAGCUUAAAUUAUGUACAAAAUUUGUUAAGCACAAAUGAACAAAUUACCUUAUAACUUAUGCUAAAAACUUGGAAACACAAAUAUUAUUAAACACAAAGAAAUUAAUUAAUCUAUAACGUACACCAAAACUUAGAAACAUAAAAGUUAUGAAAACACAAUUUAUCAUAUACGCUUAUAAAGUUAACCCAACUAGAUGAAUUCUCUCUUCAUGCAAGGUGUCCACAUCAUUCCUCAUUAAGUGACCCACUAAAUGUUCUAUCUCUUCAUGCAAGGUGUCCACAUCAUUCUCCACUAAGUCUAUGGCAUCCCAUAUUAAUUACAAAAAUAUCAUGUCAUCUAUAUCAUGUGAAAUACUUUAAAUAUUUAAUCUAUUAACAUAUAAGUCAUCUACAUAUGUUAUUUGUUUGAUCACCUAUGUCUCUAUAAUGUAAUCAAAUAUUCUAUUGUUUUUCUUCUAUUAGCUUAGCGAUUGUUUACCAGAUCUAAUACAACAAAAAUAACAUACAAGUCAAAUUCAUAUAUAUGUAUAAAAAUACAGUGACUACCUAAGAAAAUCCCGCAGCAACGCGCGGGGACCGGGAAAUUCACCUAGUAUGUACAAAAGUUAUGGAAUUUAUUCUAUAAUUAAGGUUCAUAAGUUAUUCUAUAUAACUUGGCAGCGCUGUCCAAAAAGUUUCAAUAAAAACUUGUGCUGAUAAGUUAUGUUCUGCAAAAUGUUAUAUUGUAAAAAUUUUAAUAUAUAAUUUGUGGUAAUAAGUUAUACAUGAAAGUCAUUUGUAUAAGUUAGUAACUUUCAAAAAAAAUUAUGUGUAUAACUUAGAUAUAACUCGGCGAAUGACUUAGAUGUAAAGUUAGAAAGAAGUUAUUCAUAUUUAAAACUUAGAUGUACAAACUAAUUAUCAUAAUAUAUUUGCAGAAAUGUAAAACUAUGCAUGAAAUAACUUUUAUAAAAAAAAGAAAAAUGAGAAAAUAAAAAAGAGAAAGAUGGGACGCACUUGCCGCAAACAUGCUAGUGUGUGUCGACUCGAACGUGCCAACUCUACCCAGGCAAGAGAGAAGUACAGUGCAAACGCGCGUCCGGCUGAUAGGAAGCCUCCGAACAGCCUGUUGGAUUGUUCACUAGGCUAGAAACCGAUGAACGUUCGGGGAAAUAGAAUUUGCCAGUCCAGUGGCAUGUAAUAACUAGUAUUUGUCAAAUGCGAGCUUUAUAAAUUAUAAGCUCAGUGCUGAUGUAAACUUAAGUGCUGUUAUUGUAAUGUCCUUCACAUCAGGCCAUAAGGACCAAAUCAUCAAUAUAUACAGGUGCUGGGACUCUCUCUCUCCUCCGACCACCGACAACCACCCCCCCCCCCCCCC
RNAcentral lists this long non-coding RNA (1441 nucleotides) under Sorghum bicolor (sorghum). Its description in RNAcentral is "long non-coding RNA (SBIC_LNC001877)". The record is from RNAcentral. Lineage: Eukaryota; Viridiplantae; Streptophyta; Magnoliopsida; Poales; Poaceae.